GCCGGGGUGGCGUAGUUGGUAGCGCGUCGGACUCAUAGGGUAUUUUUUACUAGAGAAAACUCUCUAGCAAAACUGAUGAUGAGCGUAACAUAGCCCCUUAGUAUGUCUGAGACAUCCGAAGGUCGCGGGUUCAAGUCCCGCUCCCGGCA
This is a non-coding RNA of Euryarchaeota archaeon TMED97, 149 nucleotides long. The record is from Rfam. Lineage: Archaea; Methanobacteriati; Methanobacteriota.